GCCAGGCAUGGUGGUGCAUGCCUGUAAUCCCAGCUACUCGGGAGGCUGAGGCAGGAGAAUUGCUUGAACCCGGGAGGUGGAGGUUGCAGUGAGCUAAGAUCGUGCCACUGCACUCCAGCUUGGGUGACAGAGCAAGACACUGUCUCAA
This 148-nucleotide non-coding RNA is filed under the name Nomascus leucogenys (northern white-cheeked gibbon). Lineage: Eukaryota; Metazoa; Chordata; Mammalia; Primates; Hylobatidae. The record is from Rfam by way of RNAcentral.